The sequence is a regulatory RNA element, 49 nucleotides long. It matches the Rfam family "Moco-II RNA". The record is from Rfam.
CGCGCUAAUUUCGACCUCUGUCUUCCAGUACAGACUCAACGAAACCCGC